GACGAACGCUGGCGGCGUGCCUAACACAUGCAAGUCGAACGGGGAUAUGAUUUCGGUUGUAUCCCAGUGGCGAACGGGUGAGUAACGCGUGAGCAACCUGUCCUUUUGAGGGGGAUAACACUUGGAAACAGGUGCUAAUACCGCAUAAGACCACGGGUCCGCAUGGACCAGAGGUCAAAGGAGCAAUCCGCAGAAGGAGGGGCUCGCGUCCCAUUAGGUAGAUGGCGGGGUAACGGCCCACCAUGCCUUCGAUGGGUAGCCGAGCUGAGAGGCUGAUCGGCCACACUGGAACUGAGACACGGUCCAGACUCCUACGGGAGGCAGCAGUGGGGAAUAUUGGGCAAUGGGCGAAAGCCUGACCCAGCAACGCCGCGUGAGGGAAGAAGGCCUUCGGGUUGUAAACCUCUGUCCUUGGUGACGAAAAAAAUGACGGUAGCCAAGGAGGAAGCCCCGGCUAACUACGUG
This 465-nucleotide ribosomal RNA is filed under the name uncultured bacterium. RNAcentral's name for it is "bacterial SSU rRNA". It matches the Rfam family "Bacterial small subunit ribosomal RNA", at positions 28 to 507 of the family's 1533-position model. The record is from RNAcentral.